RNAcentral lists this small RNA (135 nucleotides) under Pseudomonas entomophila L48. RNAcentral's name for it is "Pseudomonas sRNA P18". It matches the Rfam family "Pseudomonas sRNA P18". The record is from Rfam by way of RNAcentral. Lineage: Bacteria; Pseudomonadati; Pseudomonadota; Gammaproteobacteria; Pseudomonadales; Pseudomonadaceae.
GGCGGCGUGCUGCUCAGCCCGUUUCUGAUCUACGUGUUGAUGGCGCUGUUGCUCACCGGCGUGCUGCGCCUGGUGGUCCAGGCCACCCCCCUGGGGCGCUGGAUCUGGCAUGAAGCGCUGUUCGACGCGGCGUUG